This 435-nucleotide ribosomal RNA is filed under the name uncultured bacterium. RNAcentral's name for it is "partial 16S ribosomal RNA". It matches the Rfam family "Bacterial small subunit ribosomal RNA", at positions 29 to 507 of the family's 1533-position model. The record is from RNAcentral.
AGCGAACGCUGGCGGCAGGCUUAACACAUGCAAGUCGAGCGGGCACUUUCGGGUGUCAGCGGCGGACGGGUGAGUAACGCGUGGGAACGUGCCCUCUGGUUCGGAAUAACUCAGGGAAACUUGAGCUAAUACCGGAUACGCCCUUUUGGGGAAAGGCUUGCUGCCGGAGGAUCGGCCCGCGUCUGAUUAGCUAGUUGGUGAGGUAACGGCUCACCAAGGCGACGAUCAGUAGCUGGUCUGAGAGGAUGAUCAGCCACACUGGGACUGAGACACGGACCAGAAUCCUACGGGAAGCAGCAGUGGGGAAUAUUGGACAAUGGGCGCAAGCCUGAUCCAGCCAUGCCGGGUGAGUGAUGAAGGCCUUAGGGUUGUAAAGCUCUUUUAUCCGGGACGAUAAUGACGGUACCGGAGGAAUAAGCCCCGGCUAACUUCGUG